AGUGCAAUUGCGGGAUAACAUGGUAAGAGUUAUGUUUAACUUUGUAAGAAAUUACCAAACUGUGUUCCAAAGUAGCUGCACCAUUUCACAUUACCACCAACAAU
This 104-nucleotide microRNA precursor is filed under the name Marmota monax (woodchuck). Lineage: Eukaryota; Metazoa; Chordata; Mammalia; Rodentia; Sciuridae. The record is from RNAcentral.